UUGUGGUUGUUGUUGUUGUUGUUGUUGUUCUGCAGAGCUGGCAGCUGAGAAGUUGCUGCGUCUCAGACUCAUGUAAAUGUCCUUGCAGCAACUCCUGCUCCUGCUGCUGCAACUAACACUUCUCCUGCUCCUUAUUUUCUCUCUUUUGUGCAGCGGACAGUUAUGCUUGCUGGCACUUUUGCGCUCACUUGACUUUAAAGCUUGCAGGCUUAAGAGGCUCAACAAGUUGCAAUGGCGUGAGGCAUAACCACAAAAA
This is a long non-coding RNA of Drosophila innubila, 256 nucleotides long. RefSeq lists it as uncharacterized. Lineage: Eukaryota; Metazoa; Arthropoda; Insecta; Diptera; Drosophilidae. The record is from RefSeq and is a predicted model, not a curated record. The transcript has 2 exons.